Molecule: ribosomal RNA, 270 nt
Filed under: uncultured archaeon
Lineage: Archaea
Description: partial 16S ribosomal RNA
Rfam family: Archaeal small subunit ribosomal RNA
Source: RNAcentral
CUGCAGCUCAAGUGGUGGCCGCUAUUAUUGGGCCUAAAACGUCCGUAGCCGGUUUAGUAAAUGCCUGGGUAAAUCGUGUAGCUUAACUAUACGACUUCCGGGUAGACUGCUAAACUUGAGACCGGGAGAGGCUAGAGGUACUCCUGGGGUAGAGGUGAAAUUCUGUAAUCCUAGGGGGACCACCAGUGGCGAAGGCGUCUAGCUAGAACGGGUCUGACGGUGAGGGACGAAGCCCUGGGGCACAAACCGGAUUAGAUACCCGAGUAGUCC